UUUGGCAAUCAACAAACACACCACUUUAGUUUAUCUUAAACUCAAUUUCCAAACAGCACACCUUUUAGUUCAGGUUGAACUAAAUUUCCAAGAGUAUAUGAUUUUUGUUUGAUGAUUUGCAUAAUUUAAUCUUAAUAGGUAUUUGAGGACCUAUAUAGUUUAACUGUCAUACUGUUGAUGAGAAGACAAAGAAUAUAGAUAUCAAUGGAGGAUUAAUCUAUUGGCCCAUCAGGAAUUCUUAACAGAAAUUCAAUAUUUUUGCUAUGUUCAAUAGGAGAAAUAACGUAAAAAGAGAUUUUUAAAAAGCUAAACCAGCAAAAGAAUAUCAUAGACCAAUCUUCGUAAUUGUUGUUACAGAUUUUCCCCUAAUUUUCAGAUGAUUAGAAGAGAUGAAAAAUAUAUUUCUGAUGUAAUAGGAAUCUAUUAGUUCUGACAUAAAUUUUCUAGCCAGUUGAGCUCAAGCCUCAAUGAUCAUACUUCUUUUCCAGCAAGGAACAAAAGCUAGAAUUAGAUUAAAGUCAGGCAAAAAAUGGAUGGUGAUCUUCAACUGUAGGCCAUUUGAAAUCUGUAAUGAAUUCAUUGUACAAUUCACUCAGUCUGAGGCUGAAUUCACAUCAGAAUAAACAAGUCUCAUUUGCUACCUCCACCUUCUCGUAGGCAAUAGGUUUUACAAACAAAGCUUCUUAUCAUCAUAAUGUGACUUGAAAUCUCUUAAAUGUCAGUAUCUUAAUAGUGUCAAUUUUCUGAGUUGGAAAAUCAGAUGAUUAAUGGGCUUUUUAUGUGAUAAAUUGUGCUACCCAAACAUUUGGGUGGAAACUGGCCCAUGAGUUUAUUCCCAGUUGUUAUGAUAGAAGAUAUUUUUGCCCUUGAUUCAUAAACCAUAACUUAAUAUUUAACAGGAAUUUGUGUUAGUUGAAACAAUCUAUCCUGGAUUAAAAAUGUUAUGUUUUAAGCAACGGCUUGGAAAGAACUAAUCAAUUCAUAGUCUGCAUAUCCAGCCAAAGGGAAAUGGAACAGCUGGCCAGUGGUGCCUUCCUGUGGGAAGCCUCUUCCAUCCAUCUACAGUAUUGAUACCUUGAAAUGAAACAGAAAACAUGGAACUAGUAUGUAAACAAAAAAAAACAACAACAAAAGAAACUAAGCAACUCACUCAGCGUUUGUUGCAGUAACAUCCCUUGUUCAAAAUUAAAUGUUUUCUACACUAUAAGGUUCAGAAGAUGAGUUCUUGGAUAUAGACCUCCACGUCAAAGCUUCUCAAAUUAUAAUAUGCAUACACAAGACCAGAGGAUCUUGUUAAAAUGCAGAUUCUGAUUC
Molecule: long non-coding RNA, 1314 nt
Filed under: Equus asinus (donkey)
Lineage: Eukaryota; Metazoa; Chordata; Mammalia; Perissodactyla; Equidae
Description: lncRNA (ENSEASG00005032165.1)
Source: RNAcentral